This 868-nucleotide long non-coding RNA is filed under the name Homo sapiens (human). Its description in RNAcentral is "novel transcript". Lineage: Eukaryota; Metazoa; Chordata; Mammalia; Primates; Hominidae. The record is from RNAcentral.
GGUGCUUAAAGACAUGAGACUGAGGCUACCAACAUGACGUCACUGAACAGGGAGUCAGGAGCUUUGCACAUAGUCAACUCUUGCAAACUAUUAUGAGUUUGUCCUGCUCCCCACUGCCUGGAAACCAAGCAAACAGAGAGUUACAAAAAAAGAAUUACAAGCAUGAAGGGUGAACAACCAUGUUAAAUGCCGUUGACAUGUCAAAUUAGCUGAGGACUUCCGCAGUGAUGGAUGUAACACUUUGCCACGCAAAAAUGUUAAACGUAGAUCAGGCAGGAUGCAAAAAUAGCAUAACUUCACACUCUGUAAAGUUACACUCCCCAGUACAACUUUCAAACCGGAGCAAUAAAGAGAGAAACAAUUCCCUGGAUCAUUUAUUUUUAAUCUCUCCUCAAUUCUAACAUAUGCAUUCAGGCCAUAAUUGUCCCUCUAAGCAUGGCUUUAACUGCAUUCCAACGUUUGUACAUGUAAUAUUUUAAUUAUCGUUUGUUCAAAACAUAAUUUUAAUUGCCAUCACGCUUUUUCUCAGGCCUGAGAGUUUUUUAAGACUGCUGUUCGGCCGGGCAUGGUGGCUCACACCUGUAAUCCCAGCACUUUGGGAGGCCAAGGCAGGCAGACCACCUGAGAUCGGGAGUUCGAGACCAGCCUGACCAACAUGGAGAAACCCCGUCUCUACUAAAAAUACAAAAUUAGCCAGGUGUGGCGGCACAUGCCUGUAAUCCCAGCUACUCGGGAGGCUGAGGCAGGAGAAUCACUUGAACCCAGGAGGCAGAGGUUGCAGUGAGCCAAGAUUGUGCCAUUGCACUCCAGCCUGGGCAACGAGAGUGAAACUCUGUCUCAAAAAAAAAAAAAAGAAAAGAAAAGAAAG